This 504-nucleotide ribosomal RNA is filed under the name uncultured organism. RNAcentral's name for it is "SSU rRNA". It matches the Rfam family "Bacterial small subunit ribosomal RNA", at positions 10 to 509 of the family's 1533-position model. The record is from RNAcentral.
AGUUUGAUCCUGGCUCAGGAUGAACGCUAGCGGCAGGCUUAACACAUGCAAGUCGCGGGGCAGCGCGGGUAGCAAUAUCUGGCGGCGACCGGCGGAAGGGUGCGUAACGCGUGAGCAACAUGCCCGUAUCAGGGGGAUAACCGAUGGAAACGUCGCCUAAUACCCCAUAACAACGGAGGGCCGCAUGACCCAUGUUUGAAAGUUACGGCGGAUACGGAUUGGCUCGCGUGACAUUAGCUAGUUGGCGGGGUAACGGCCCACCAAGGCAACGAUGUCUAGGGGUUCUGAGAGGAAGGUCCCCCACACUGGAACUGAGACACGGUCCAGACUCCUACGGGAGGCAGCAGUGAGGAAUAUUGGACAAUGGCCGGAAGGCUGAUCCAGCCAUGCCGCGUGCGGGAAGACGGCCCUAUGGGUUGUAAACCGCUUUUGUUGGGGAGCAAUAAGGUCCACGUGUGGAUUGAUGAGAGUACCCAGCGAAUAAGCAUCGGCUAACUCCGUGCC